GGGAAUCUGCCCUUGGGUUCGGAAUAACGUCGGGAAACUGACGCUAAUACCGGAUGAUGACGAAAGUCCAAAGAUUUAUCGCCCAGGGAUGAGCCCGCGUAGGAUUAGCUAGUUGGUGAGGUAAAGGCUCACCAAGGCUACGAUCCUUAACUGGUCUGAGAGGAUGAUCAGCCACACUGGGACUGAGACACGGCCCAGACUCCUACGGGAGGCAGCAGUAGGGAAUAUUGGACAAUGGGGGCAACCCUGAUCCAGCAAUGCCGCGUGAGUGAUGAAGGCCUUAGGGUUGUAAAGCUCUUUUACCCGAGAUGAUAAUGACAGUAUCGGGAGAAUAAGCUCCGGCUAACUCCGUGCCAGCAGCCGCGGUAAUACGAAGGGGGCUAGCGUUGUUCGGAAUUACUGGGCGUAAAGCGCACGUAGGCGGAUAUUUAAGUCAGGGGUGAAAUCCCAGAGCUCAACUCUGGAACUGCCUUUGAUACUGGGUAUCUUGAGUAUGGAAGAGGUAAGUGGAAUUGCGAGU
This 520-nucleotide ribosomal RNA is filed under the name uncultured bacterium. Its description in RNAcentral is "bacterial SSU rRNA". It matches the Rfam family "Bacterial small subunit ribosomal RNA", at positions 120 to 674 of the family's 1533-position model. The record is from RNAcentral.